Molecule: ribosomal RNA, 2610 nt
Filed under: Escherichia coli
Lineage: Bacteria; Pseudomonadati; Pseudomonadota; Gammaproteobacteria; Enterobacterales; Enterobacteriaceae
Description: partial 23S ribosomal RNA
Rfam family: Bacterial large subunit ribosomal RNA
Source: RNAcentral
CAUAGGUUAAUGAGGCGAACCGGGGGAACUGAAACAUCUAAGUACCCCGAGGAAAAGAAAUCAACCGAGAUUCCCCCAGUAGCGGCGAGCGAACGGGGAGGAGCCCAGAGCCUGAAUCAGUGUGUGUGUUAGUGGAAGCGUCUGGAAAGGCGCGCGAUACAGGGUGACAGCCCCGUACACAAAAAUGCACAUGCUGUGAGCUCGAUGAGUAGGGCGGGACACGUGGUAUCCUGUCUGAAUAUGGGGGGACCAUCCUCCAAGGCUAAAUACUCCUGACUGACCGAUAGUGAACCAGUACCGUGAGGGAAAGGCGAAAAGAACCCCGGCGAGGGGAGUGAAAAAGAACCUGAAACCGUGUACGUACAAGCAGUGGGAGCACAGAGCAAUCUGUGUGACUGCGUACCUUUUGUAUAAUGGGUCAGCGACUUAUAUUCUGUAGCAAGGUUAACCGAAUAGGGGAGCCGAAGGGAAACCGAGUCUUAACUGGGCGUUAAGUUGCAGGGUAUAGACCCGAAACCCGGUGAUCUAGCCAUGGGCAGGUUGAAGGUUGGGUAACACUAACUGGAGGACCGAACCGACUAAUGUUGAAAAAUUAGCGGAUGACUUGUGGCUGGGGGUGAAAGGCCAAUCAAACCGGGAGAUAGCUGGUUCUCCCCGAAAGCUAUUUAGGUAGCGCCUCGUGAAUUCAUCUCCGGGGGUAGAGCACUGUUUCGGCAAGGGGGUCAUCCCGACUUACCAACCCGAUGCAAACUGCGAAUACCGGAGAAUGUUAUCACGGGAGACACACGGCGGGUGCUAACGUCCGUCGUGAAGAGGGAAACAACCCAGACCGCCAGCUAAGGUCCCAAAGUCAUGGUUAAGUGGGAAACGAUGUGGGAAGGCCCAGACAGCCAGGAUGUUGGCUUAGAAGCAGCCAUCAUUUAAAGAAAGCGUAAUAGCUCACUGGUCGAGUCGGCCUGCGCGGAAGAUGUAACGGGGCUAAACCAUGCACCGAAGCUGCGGCAGCGACACUGUGUGUUGUUGGGUAGGGGAGCGUUCUGUAAGCCUGUGAAGGUGUGCUGUGAGGCAUGCUGGAGGUAUCAGAAGUGCGAAUGCUGACAUAAGUAACGAUAAAGCGGGUGAAAAGCCCGCUCGCCGGAAGACCAAGGGUUCCUGUCCAACGUUAAUCGGGGCAGGGUGAGUCGACCCCUAAGGCGAGGCCGAAAGGCGUAGUCGAUGGGAAACAGGUUAAUAUUCCUGUACUUGGUGUUACUGCGAAGGGGGGACGGAGAAGGCUAUGUUGGCCGGGCGACGGUUGUCCCGGUUUAAGCGUGUAGGCUGGUUUUCCAGGCAAAUCCGGAAAAUCAAGGCUGAGGCGUGAUGACGAGGCACUACGGUGCUGAAGCAACAAAUGCCCUGCUUCCAGGAAAAGCCUCUAAGCAUCAGGUAACAUCAAAUCGUACCCCAAACCGACACAGGUGGUCAGGUAGAGAAUACCAAGGCGCUUGAGAGAACUCGGGUGAAGGAACUAGGCAAAAUGGUGCCGUAACUUCGGGAGAAGGCACGCUGAUAUGUAGGUGAAGUCCCUCGCGGAUGGAGCUGAAAUCAGUCGAAGAUACCAGCUGGCUGCAACUGUUUAUUAAAAACACAGCACUGUGCAAACACGAAAGUGGACGUAUACGGUGUGACGCCUGCCCGGUGCCGGAAGGUUAAUUGAUGGGGUCAGCGCAAGCGAAGCUCUUGAUCGAAGCCCCGGUAAACGGCGGCCGUAACUAUAACGGUCCUAAGGUAGCGAAAUUCCUUGUCGGGUAAGUUCCGACCUGCACGAAUGGCGUAAUGAUGGCCAGGCUGUCUCCACCCGAGACUCAGUGAAAUUGAACUCGCUGUGAAGAUGCAGUGUACCCGCGGCAAGACGGAAAGACCCCGUGAACCUUUACUAUAGCUUGACACUGAACAUUGAGCCUUGAUGUGUAGGAUAGGUGGGAGGCUUUGAAGUGUGGACGCCAGUCUGCAUGGAGCCGACCUUGAAAUACCACCCUUUAAUGUUUGAUGUUCUAACGUGGACCCGUGAUCCGGGUUGCGGACAGUGUCUGGUGGGUAGUUUGACUGGGGCGGUCUCCUCCUAAAGAGUAACGGAGGAGCACGAAGGUUGGCUAAUCCUGGUCGGACAUCAGGAGGUUAGUGCAAUGGCAUAAGCCAGCUUGACUGCGAGCGUGACGGCGCGAGCAGGUGCGAAAGCAGGUCAUAGUGAUCCGGUGGUUCUGAAUGGAAGGGCCAUCGCUCAACGGAUAAAAGGUACUCCGGGGAUAACAGGCUGAUACCGCCCAAGAGUUCAUAUCGACGGCGGUGUUUGGCACCUCGAUGUCGGCUCAUCACAUCCUGGGGCUGAAGUAGGUCCCAAGGGUAUGGCUGUUCGCCAUUUAAAGUGGUACGCGAGCUGGGUUUAGAACGUCGUGAGACAGUUCGGUCCCUAUCUGCCGUGGGCGCUGGAGAACUGAGGGGGGCUGCUCCUAGUACGAGAGGACCGGAGUGGACGCAUCACUGGUGUUCGGGUUGUCAUGCCAAUGGCACUGCCCGGUAGCUAAAUGCGGAAGAGAUAAGUGCUGAAAGCAUCUAAGCACGAAACUUGCC